RNAcentral lists this ribosomal RNA (440 nucleotides) under uncultured bacterium. Its description in RNAcentral is "partial 16S ribosomal RNA". It matches the Rfam family "Bacterial small subunit ribosomal RNA", at positions 338 to 795 of the family's 1533-position model. The record is from RNAcentral.
CCUACGGGCGGCAGCAGUGGGGAAUAUUGCACAAUGGGGGAAACCCUGAUGCAGCGACGCCGCGUGAGUGAAGAAGUAUUUCGGUAUGUAAAGCCCUAUCAGCAGGGAAGAAAAUGACGGUACCUGACUAAGAAGCACCGGCUAACUACGUGCCAGCAGCCGCGGUAAUACGUAGGGGGCAAGCGUUAUCCGGAUUUACUGGGUGUAAAGGGAGCGUAGACGGCGCGGCAAGUCUGAAGUGAAAGGCCGGGGCUUAACCCCUGAACUGCUUUGGAAACUGCCAUGCUAGAGUGCUGGAGAGGUAAGUGGAAUUCCUGGUGUAGCGGUGAAAUGCGUAGAUAUUGGGAGGAACACCAGUGGCGAAGGCGGCUUACUGGACAGUAACUGACGUUGAGGCUCGAAAGCGUGGGGAGCGAACAGGAUUAGAUACCCGGGUAGUC